This 1532-nucleotide ribosomal RNA is filed under the name Lactiplantibacillus plantarum. RNAcentral describes it as "partial 16S ribosomal RNA". It matches the Rfam family "Bacterial small subunit ribosomal RNA". Lineage: Bacteria; Bacillati; Bacillota; Bacilli; Lactobacillales; Lactobacillaceae. The record is from RNAcentral.
GAGUUUGAUCCUGGCUCAGGACGAACGCUGGCGGCGUGCCUAAUACAUGCAAGUCGAACGAACUCUGGUAUUGAUUGGUGCUUGCAUCAUGAUUUACAUUUGAGUGAGUGGCGAACUGGUGAGUAACACGUGGGAAACCUGCCCAGAAGCGGGGGAUAACACCUGGAAACAGAUGCUAAUACCGCAUAACAACUUGGACCGCAUGGUCCGAGCUUGAAAGAUGGCUUCGGCUAUCCCUUUUGGAUGGUCCCGCGGCGUAUUAGCUAGAUGGUGGGGUAACGGCUCACCAUGGCAAUGAUACGUAGCCGACCUGAGAGGGUAAUCGGCCACAUUGGGACUGAGACACGGCCCAAACUCCUACGGGAGGCAGCAGUAGGGAAUCUUCCACAAUGGACGAAAGUCUGAUGGAGCAACGCCGCGUGAGUGAAGAAGGGUUUCGGCUCGUAAAACUCUGUUGUUAAAGAAGAACAUAUCUGAGAGUAACUGUUCAGGUAUUGACGGUAUUUAACCAGAAAGCCACGGCUAACUACGUGCCAGCAGCCGCGGUAAUACGUAGGUGGCAAGCGUUGUCCGGAUUUAUUGGGCGUAAAGCGAGCGCAGGCGGUUUUUUAAGUCUGAUGUGAAAGCCUUCGGCUCAACCGAAGAAGUGCAUCGGAAACUGGGAAACUUGAGUGCAGAAGAGGACAGUGGAACUCCAUGUGUAGCGGUGAAAUGCGUAGAUAUAUGGAAGGACACCAGUGGCGGAGGCGGCUGUCUGGUCUGUAACUGACGCUGAGGCUCGAAAGUAUGGGUAGCAAACAGGAUUAGAUACCCUGGUAGUCCAUACCGUAAACGAUGAAUGCUAAGUGUUGGAGGGUUUCCGCCCUUCAGUGCUGCAGCUAACGCAUUAAGCAUUCCGCCUGGGGAGUACGGCCGCAAGGCUGAAACUCAAAGGAAUUGACGGGGGCCCGCACAAGCGGUGGAGCAUGUGGUUUAAUUCGAAGCUACGCGAAGAACCUUACCAGGUCUUGACAUACUAUGCAAAUCUAAGAGAUUAGACGUUCCCUUCGGGGACAUGGAUACAGGUGGUGCAUGGUUGUCGUCAGCUCGUGUCGUGAGAUGUUGGGUUAAGUCCCGCAACGAGCGCAACCCUUAUUAUCAGUUGCCAGCAUUAAGUUGGGCACUCUGGUGAGACUGCCGGUGACAAACCGGAGGAAGGUGGGGAUGACGUCAAAUCAUCAUGCCCCUUAUGACCUGGGCUACACACGUGCUACAAUGGAUGGUACAACGAGUUGCGAACUCGCGAGAGUAAGCUAAUCUCUUAAAGCCAUUCUCAGUUCGGAUUGUAGGCUGCAACUCGCCUACAUGAAGUCGGAAUCGCUAGUAAUCGCGGAUCAGCAUGCCGCGGUGAAUACGUUCCCGGGCCUUGUACACACCGCCCGUCACACCAUGAGAGUUUGUAACACCCAAAGUCGGUGGGGUAACCUUUUAGGAACCAGCCGCCUAAGGUGGGACAGAUGAUUAGGGUGAAGUCGUAACAAGGUUACGAGAGU